This 254-nucleotide ribosomal RNA is filed under the name uncultured bacterium. RNAcentral's name for it is "partial 16S ribosomal RNA". It matches the Rfam family "Bacterial small subunit ribosomal RNA", at positions 524 to 776 of the family's 1533-position model. The record is from RNAcentral.
UACGUAGGGGGCGAACGUUGUCCGGAUUUAUUGGGCGUAAAGAGCUCGUAGGCGGCUCAGCAAGUCGGCCGUGAAAACCCGGGGCUCAACCCCGGGACGCCGGUCGAAACUGCUGUGGCUAGGGUUCGGUAGAGGAGAGUGGAAUUCCCGGUGUAGCGGUGAAAUGCGCAGAUAUCGGGAGGAACACCAGUAGCGAAGGCGGCUCUCUGGGCCGAUACCGACGCUGAGGAGCGAAAGCUAGGGGAGCAAACAGG